GAUCAUGGCUCAGGACGAACGCUGGCGGCGCGCCUAACACAUGCAAGUCGAACGGGGGUUAUACGGGAUGAAGUUUUCGGAUGGAAUUCUAUAUAACCUAGUGGCGGACGGGUGAGUAACACGUGAGCAACCUGCCUAUCAGAGGGGGGAUAACGAUUGGAAACGAUCGCUAAUACCGCAUGACAUAGCGAAGAGGCAUCUUUUUGUCUAUCAAAGAAUUUAUUCGCUGAUAGAUGGGCGUCG
This 243-nucleotide ribosomal RNA is filed under the name uncultured bacterium. Its description in RNAcentral is "partial 16S ribosomal RNA". It matches the Rfam family "Bacterial small subunit ribosomal RNA", at positions 15 to 233 of the family's 1533-position model. The record is from RNAcentral.